CUCGCGGCCUAUCAGCUUGUUGGUGGGGUAAUGGCCUACCAAGGCGACGACGGGUAGCCGGCCUGAGAGGGUGACCGGCCACACUGGGACUGAGACACGGCCCAGACUCCUACGGGAGGCAGCAGUGGGGAAUAUUGCACAAUGGGCGAAAGCCUGAUGCAGCGACGCCGCGUGAGGGAUGACGGCCUUCGGGUUGUAAACCUCUUUCAGUAGGGAAGAAGCCGUAAGGUGACGGUACCUGCAGAAGAAGCGCCGGCUAACUACGUGCCAGCAGCCGCGGUAAUACGUAGGGCGCAAGCGUUAUCCGGAAUUAUUGGGCGUAAAGAGCUCGUAGGCGGUUUGUCGCGUCUGCUGUGAAAGACCGGGGCUCAACUCCGGUUCUGCAGUGGGUACGGGCAGACUAGAGUGCAGUAGGGGAGACUGGAAUUCCUGGUGUAGCGGUGAAAUGCGCAGAUAUCAGGAGGAACACCGAUGGCGAAGGCAGGUCUCUGGGCUGUAACUGACGCUGAGGAGCGAAAGCAUGGGGAGCGAACAGGAUUAGAUACCCUGGUAGUCCAUGCCGUAAACGUUGGGCACUAGGUGUGGGGGACAUUCCACGUUUUCCGCGCCGUAGCUAACGCA
Molecule: ribosomal RNA, 621 nt
Filed under: Micrococcaceae bacterium
Lineage: Bacteria; Bacillati; Actinomycetota; Actinomycetes; Micrococcales; Micrococcaceae
Description: bacterial SSU rRNA
Rfam family: Bacterial small subunit ribosomal RNA
Source: RNAcentral